Coffea arabica (coffee) is the source of this 588-nucleotide non-coding RNA. NCBI's taxonomy places the organism in Eukaryota, Viridiplantae, Streptophyta, Magnoliopsida, Gentianales, Rubiaceae. The record is from RefSeq and is a predicted model, not a curated record.
CAUUCCAUCCUGGUGCUUCUCCUUAGGAUUACAUAAUGUUGAUUCAGAAGCUUGUAUAAAUUGUCCAAUUGACCAUAAAAGAGGCAAGCACAGUGCUCAAGUCCAAGGGACCUCCAGAUUACUAUGACAAAUUGAGUGAAAAAAGAACAGGUGCUGGCUGAAAACCUGUACUUAUCCUAGAAUAUCAUUGCAUGUGCUGAGAAGUAAAAUCCAUAAUUCUAUGGUUCUUCUACUAUCAACUGUGUCAAGCAUCAGCUCCAGAAGUAGAUUGAAGAUUAUGAGUUUCAAAGAUCAAUGGGUCAUUAUUCAUGAAAAUCAAAAUAUUAGCUAGUUUUACGUGUUUGCUUUUCUCAAGGAUUGAAAAAGGUAACAACAAAUUCUUGGGACUCCGGAUCAGGCUUGGGGCUGUCUUUUGGUGACGUGCUGCCUACAUAUUCUAUGGAUUUUAUCAGUUCAUAUUGCUAUAUUCAUUGUGCUAUGAAAGAUUUGAUGACUUUUCUGUAGCUUAAGCUGAUGCAUACAAUUAAGAAUAGUAUACAACUUAUCUUACAGAGGUCCAUUCUGAUCCUUAGUCUGCUACAAUAUGUC